CCAAUAGCGUAUAUUAAAGUUGCUGCAGUUAAAAAGCUCGUAGUUGAAUUUCGGGACCAUCAUGUCGGUCGUGCCUCGGUACGUACUGGCAUUGUUGGUUUCUCCCUUCUGACGAACCAUGAUGUCAUUUAUUUGGUGUUGUGGGAAAUCAGGACUGUUACUUUGAAAAAAUUAGAGUGUUUAAAGCAGGCUCACGCUUGAAUACAUUAGCAUGGAAUAAUGAAAUAGGACGUUUGAUUCUAUUUUGUUGGUUUCUAGGAUCGACGUAAUGAUUAAUAGGGAUAGUUGGGGGCAUUAGUAUUCAAUUGUCAGAGGUGAAAUUCUUGGAUUUAUUGAAGACUAACUACUGCGAAAGCAUUUGCCAAGGAUGUUUUCAUUAAUCAAGAACGAAAGUUAGGGGAUCGAAGACGAUCAGAUACCGUCGUAGUCUUAACCAUAAACUAUGCCGACUAGGGAUCGGAUGAUGUUAAUUUUAAUGACUCAUUCGGCGCCUUACGGGAAA
RNAcentral lists this ribosomal RNA (502 nucleotides) under uncultured Glomeromycotina. RNAcentral's name for it is "SSU rRNA". It matches the Rfam family "Eukaryotic small subunit ribosomal RNA", at positions 591 to 1097 of the family's 1831-position model. The record is from RNAcentral. Lineage: Eukaryota; Fungi; Glomeromycota.